CGAAACCGGGUGACCUAUCCAUGAGCAGGCUGAAGCGGUGGUAAGACACCGUGGAGGGCCGCACCCACGUCUGUUGAAAAAGCCGGGGAUGACUUGUGGAUAGCGGAGAAAUUCCAAUCGAACUCGGAGAUAGCUGGUUCUCCCCGAAAUAGCUUUAGGGCUAGCGUUAUUUUAGAUUACCGGAGGUAAAGCACUGAAUGGUCUAGGGGCCGCGAGGUUACCAAAGCCUAUCAAACUCUGAAUGCCGGAUAAUUGAUGAAUAGCAGUCAGACUGUGUGAGAUAAGUCUCAUAGUCAAAAGGGAAACAGCCCAGAUCUACAGCUAAGGUCCCAAAUGAACACUAAGUGGAAAAUGAUGUGAAACUGCGAAGACAACCAGGAUGUUGGCUUAGAAGCAGCCACUCAUUCAAAGAGUGCGUAAUAGCUCACUGGUCGAGUGGUUUUGCGCAGAAAAUGUAACGGGGCUAAGUGUUCAACCGAAGCUUAGGCAUUGCAGUAAUGCAUUGGGUAGGGGAGCGUCGUAUGCGGGGCGAAGUCAGAGCGGAAGCACUGGUGGACUGCAUACGAGUGAGAAUGCCGGAAUAAGUAGCGAGAAUUAUGUGAGAAUCAUAAUGGCCGAAAAUCUAAGGUUUCUUGGGGAAGGUUCGUCCGCCCAAGGUUAGUCGGGAGCUAAGCUCAGGCCGAAAGGCGUAGGCGAUGCACAUACGGUAGAAAUUCCGUAACCACCGAACAUUUAAGCUAGAGGGACGCUUUCAUUAAGUCUAUCCCGGGCGAUGGUUGCCCCGGGCGUAAGGGACCGAAAUUUAGUAGGGAAGUAGACGGCGUGAGAGACGAGAAAAGCUCUAGUGUAUACUAAGGUGCCCGUACCGCAAACCGACACAGGUAGAUGAGGAGAGUAUUCUAAGGCCAACGGGAGAAGGGUUGUUAAGGAACUCGGCAAAUUGGCCCCGUAACUUCGGGAGAAGGGGCGCCUGCGAGAGCAGGCCGCAGUGAAAAGGCCCAAGCGACUGUUUAGCAAAAACACAGCUCUCUGCUAAAUCGAAAGAUGACGUAUAGGGGGUGACGCCUGCCCGGUGCUGGAAGGUUAAGGGGAGUGCUUAGCGCAAGCGAAGGUGCGAACUUAAGCCCCAGUAAACGGCGGCCGUAACUAUAACGGUCCUAAGGUAGCGAAAUUCCUUGUCGGGUAAGUUC
This 1190-nucleotide ribosomal RNA is filed under the name human gut metagenome. RNAcentral's name for it is "bacterial LSU rRNA". It matches the Rfam family "Bacterial large subunit ribosomal RNA", at positions 716 to 1983 of the family's 2925-position model. The record is from RNAcentral.